CGCGUAGGCGGCCGGUCGCGUCGGAUGUGAAAGCCCCGGGCUCAACCUGGGAGGUGCAUCCGAUACGGGCUGGCUUGAGAGCGGGAGAGGAGUGUGGAAUUCCCAGUGUAGAGGUGAAAUUCGUAGAUAUUGGGAAGAACACCAGUGGCGAAGGCGGCACUCUGGCCCGUUUCUGACGCUGAGGCGCGAAAGCGUGGGGAGCAAACA
Molecule: ribosomal RNA, 207 nt
Filed under: uncultured bacterium
Lineage: Bacteria
Description: partial 16S ribosomal RNA
Rfam family: Bacterial small subunit ribosomal RNA
Source: RNAcentral